CCAGGUGAUCCAUCCUUGCCAUCUUCGCCUUUAGCUCCUGGAACACCUGGAAUACCAGCCUCACCCUGAAAAAAAAAAAAGAUGGUAAAAUAAAGAAAUUAUGACUGAAUUUAGUUCAAAGUUUUUACCUGUUUACUUUCUAAUUAUGUUGCAUUUUUUCAAGAAAUAACCAGAUCUGUUGCAGUAAAACUUACGCGUUCACCACGUGGUCCGGGCUCUCCUUUGGCACCAUUCUUACCAGGCUCACCCUAAAGUAUAACAAAGUCUUGGUUGAAACACAGGGAGGAUUCGACUAACAAAUCAUCACCAGUAACACAUAAUUCAGUUAUAAGUUAUAAGACAAGAGUGAAGUCAAUAUAAAUUCAACUGAACAGGAGCAAAAUUUUGCUAUUAAUUUUUUGUUGAUGGAAUUAAACUAUACCUUUCAGUCAACAGAGAAAAAACAAGGCAACUUACUGCACCACCUCGCAGUCCAGGAGCACCAUUAGCACCGGCUGGUCCUGGAGGACCCCGGGCUCCCAUCAGUCCAGGAGCUCCAGGAAUGCCAGCGGGACCCUAAGAACAAACCAAAGACACUAUAUUAGCCGAACUUGAAUGUUCUUUUAUGAAUAUCUCACUUAAAUAUCACAAAUCUAUUGUCAUGCAAAAUGCAAAAGAAGCCAGUAAUGUGUGGAUGAGAUAAGGCUGAGGAGUGGGGACAGCUUACCAUUUCGCCUUUACCACCA
Molecule: long non-coding RNA, 725 nt
Filed under: Homo sapiens (human)
Lineage: Eukaryota; Metazoa; Chordata; Mammalia; Primates; Hominidae
Description: HSALNT0307875
Source: RNAcentral